GGGGAUUUGGCUCAGUGGUAGAGCACUUGCCUAGCAAGUGCAAGUCCCUG
This is a non-coding RNA of Rattus norvegicus (Norway rat), 50 nucleotides long. The record is from Rfam. NCBI's taxonomy places the organism in Eukaryota, Metazoa, Chordata, Mammalia, Rodentia, Muridae.